CUUUGCAAUUCAUAGAAAAUUUCCAGCUUCUGAUGGAAUCUUUUAGUUGAUCACUGGCUUUAACAAAUCAGUAGAGUACUAGUAAUCCAGUACUGAUAGAAUCUCAAUUUUUGUGAGGAGCUGGAUUGCUUGUUGAUAAAUAGAACCUCUGUUUUUUUCCUGCUUCCAGGAUUUGGUGAAGAAAUAUUCUGAAUUCAUCAACUUCCCAAUCUAUUUGUGGGCAAGUAAAGAGGUUGACGUGGAUGUUCCUGCUGACGAAGAUGAGUCUGGUGAUGAAGAUGAAACAAGUAUGCAUUGUCUAAUGGCAGUGUAUAAUGCUUAUUAUUCUAGUACUGAGUUUCAUGAUGUGCUAUAAUUUAAUCUUGUGGUUUGCUUUUGUUUACCCUGCUGUUAUCAGCUGCUGAAAGCAGCUCUUCUGAUGAUGGAGAUUCUGAGAAAAGUGAAGAUGAGGACGCCGAGGAUAAACCAAAAACCAAAAAAAUUAAGGAGACUACUUAUGAGUGGGAACUUUUGAAUGAUGUUAAGGCUAUAUGGUUGAGAAAUCCAAAGGAGGUGACAGAAGAAGAGUACACAAAAUUCUACCACUCUCUAGCAA
RNAcentral lists this long non-coding RNA (595 nucleotides) under Populus tremula. Its description in RNAcentral is "long non-coding RNA (PTRE_LNC002284)". The record is from RNAcentral. Lineage: Eukaryota; Viridiplantae; Streptophyta; Magnoliopsida; Malpighiales; Salicaceae.